AAACUCAAAUGAAUUGACGGGGGCCCGCACAAGCGGUGGAGCAUGUGGUUAAUUCGAAGCAACGCGAAGAACCUUACCAGGCCUUGACAUGCAGAGAACUUUCCAGAGAUGGAUUGGUGCCUUCGGGAACUCUGACACAGGUGCUGCAUGGCUGUUGUCAGCUCGUGUCGUGAGAUGUUGGGUUAAGUCCCGUAACGAGCGCAACCCUUGUCCUUAGUUACCGGCACGUUAAGGUGGGCACUCUAAGGAGACUGCCGGUGACAAACCGGAGGAAGGUGGGGAUGACGUCAAGUCAUCAUGGCCCUUACGGCCUGGGCUACACACGUGCUACAAUGGUCGGUACAAAGGGUUGCCAAGCCGCGAGGUGGAGCUAAUCCCAUAAAACCGAUCGUAGUCCGGAUCGCAGUUUGCAACUCGACUGCGUGAAGUCGGAAUCGCUAGUAAUCGUGAAUCAGAAUGUCACGGUGAAUACGUUCCCGGGCCUU
RNAcentral lists this ribosomal RNA (485 nucleotides) under uncultured Pseudomonas sp. RNAcentral's name for it is "bacterial SSU rRNA". It matches the Rfam family "Bacterial small subunit ribosomal RNA", at positions 897 to 1382 of the family's 1533-position model. The record is from RNAcentral. Lineage: Bacteria; Pseudomonadati; Pseudomonadota; Gammaproteobacteria; Pseudomonadales; Pseudomonadaceae.